Molecule: non-coding RNA, 157 nt
Filed under: Acetobacter sacchari
Lineage: Bacteria; Pseudomonadati; Pseudomonadota; Alphaproteobacteria; Acetobacterales; Acetobacteraceae
Description: 6S RNA
Rfam family: 6S / SsrS RNA
About the family: E. coli 6S RNA was the first non coding RNA to be sequenced, but its function was unknown until recently.
Source: RNAcentral
GCGGGGCUGCCCGGCUCGUCAGGCAGAUCAUACCCCUGGGCCGAUAAGCACUUCCUCGGGAGCUGGCGCUGACGUGGCCGUGGUCAUGUUAUCCGGCGCCCACCUGCACUAGCAGGUCCUGGAGGUUGUACAGUCCAACGGCCAUGGUGGCUCCGCA